UACGUAGGGUGCGAGCGUUGUCCGGAAUUAUUGGGCGUAAAGAGCUUGUAGGCGGUUUGUCGCGUCUGCUGUGAAAAUCCGGGCGUCAACCCGGACCUUGCAGUGGGUACGGGCAGACUAGAGUGUGGAGGGGAGACUGGAAUUCCUGGUGUAGCGGUGAAAUGCGCAGAUAUCAGGAGGAACACCGAUGGCGAAGGCAGGUCUCUGGGCCACUACUGACGCUGAGAGCGAAA
RNAcentral lists this ribosomal RNA (233 nucleotides) under uncultured bacterium. RNAcentral's name for it is "partial 16S ribosomal RNA". It matches the Rfam family "Bacterial small subunit ribosomal RNA", at positions 524 to 758 of the family's 1533-position model. The record is from RNAcentral.